GCUUGGGAGAAGACCAAGGGGAGGCACUGGUGACGCCCUGAGAUUUCAGUCCCCUCUGUCCCCUCAGGCCCUGCACACAGGGGAGUCCCACAAGUGCUUUACUAAGUGAAGAGAAAAUGCCGAGACAGUCUGUACCAACCCGCGAGAGCCCUCCUGGAUUGGCGAGUCGUUCCUGAGUUUUAGGAGAAAAAGUCUUUGGCUGCCUCUGGGCAUGGGAAAUGACCCCCAGCCCCAUUUGCUCUUUCCAGCAGAGGACCUGGACGAUGUGGGACCCCCGGUGACUCUCAGAAGCUGCAGGCUGGCCACCCCUUUGCAGGAUGACUUCUCUGCUGCAGAAGCGUCGGAGGCAGGAAAUCUCAGCGACAACCCAGGACUGGCUUCCUGCCAGCCCCAGGAACACCCUGGGAGACAAGGGUUUCCCAGCUCAUCUGCUGUCCCUGGUGGCUGGGGAGCGAUGCCGUCCAGCUGGCCCCGGGAGCACACCACGCCCCAGGAGAGAGGCAAGAGUGUGUGUUUCCGGGGGCUGGGGAUGUGGCUCAAGCAGUAGCGCGCUCGCCUGGCAUGCGUGCGGCCCGGGUUCGAUCCUCAGCACCACAUACAAAGAUGUUGUGUCUGCCGAAAACUAAAAAAUAAAUAUUAAAAAAAAAAAAAGAGAGAGUGUGUGUUUCCGGCCUUCGGCUCCCGUGCUGACCCAGCCUGGGGCAUUUUUCUGAAGACCAGGCCUGGUGCUAGAAAUGAGGAGGCUUUGGAGGGAAAGAAAAGUGAGAAACCACAGGAAGGAGUCUAAGACUUGG
Molecule: long non-coding RNA, 794 nt
Filed under: Marmota monax (woodchuck)
Lineage: Eukaryota; Metazoa; Chordata; Mammalia; Rodentia; Sciuridae
Source: RNAcentral